Molecule: ribosomal RNA, 866 nt
Filed under: uncultured bacterium
Lineage: Bacteria
Description: bacterial SSU rRNA
Rfam family: Bacterial small subunit ribosomal RNA
Source: RNAcentral
CGCACCGCUUCGGUGGUGAGUGGCGAACGGGUGAGUAAUACAUAAGUAACCUGGCCUUUCGAGGGGGAUAACUAUUGGAAACGAUAGCUAAGACCGCAUAGGCAUAAUUCUCGCAUGAGAGUUAUGUUAAAUAUCCUAUGGGAUAGCGAGAGGAUGGACUUAUGGCGCAUUAGCUAGUUGGUGAGGGUAACGGCCCACCAAGGCGACGAUGCGUAGCCGACCUGAGAGGGUGGACGGCCACACUGGGACUGAGACACGGCCCAGACUCCUACGGGAGGCAGCAGUAGGGAAUUUUCGGCAAUGGGCGAAAGCCUGACCGAGCAACGCCGCGUGAGGGAGGAAGUAUUUCGGUAUGUAAACCUCUGUUAUAAAGGAAGAACGGCGCAUGUAGGGAAUGACAUGCGAGUGACGGUACUUUAUGAGAAAGCCACGGCUAACUACGUGCCAGCAGCCGCGGUAAUACGUAGGUGGCGAGCGUUAUCCGGAAUCAUUGGGCGUAAAGAGGGAGCAGGCGGCAACUAGGGUCUGCGGUAAAAGACCGAAGCUAAACUUCGGUAAGCCGUGGAAACCGAGGAGCUAGAGUGCAGUAGAGGAUCGUGGAAUUCCAUGUGUAGCGGUGAAAUGCGUAGAUAUAUGGAGGAACACCAGUGGCGAAGGCGACGAUCUGGGCUGCAACUGACGCUCAGUCCCGAAAGCGUGGGGAGCAAAUAGGAUUAGAUACCCUAGUAGUCCACGCCGUANACGAUGAGUACUAAGUGUUGGGGGUCANACCUCAGUGCUGCAGUUAACGCAAUAAGUACUCCGCCUGAGUAGUACGUUCGCAAGAAUGAAACUCAAAGGAAUUGACGGGGGCCCGCACAAGCGGU